AGACCGUGAUGUGGACAUAUCCUCAUCAUUCCUUUGUAUCUCUCCCACGCAUUGUAGAGAGAUUCUACAUCUUUUUGUUGAAAUCCAUUGAUUUUAGCUCUCAGCAU
Molecule: small nucleolar RNA, 107 nt
Organism: Lathyrus oleraceus (garden pea)
Lineage: Eukaryota; Viridiplantae; Streptophyta; Magnoliopsida; Fabales; Fabaceae
Source: RefSeq, a predicted model, not a curated record